RNAcentral lists this ribosomal RNA (416 nucleotides) under uncultured bacterium. Its description in RNAcentral is "bacterial SSU rRNA". It matches the Rfam family "Bacterial small subunit ribosomal RNA", at positions 29 to 452 of the family's 1533-position model. The record is from RNAcentral.
AAUGAACGCUGGCGGCGUGCUUUACACAUGCAAGUCGAGCGAGGCGGGUAGCAAUACCCAGUCGAGCGGCGAACGGGUGAGUAACGCGUGGAUUAUCUGCCCUAAGGUGGGGGAUAACCCGGGGAAACUCGGGCUAAUACCGCAUAUGACCGGGAGGUCAAAGGGGGCCGCAAGGCUCUCGCCUUUGGAGGAGUCCGCGUUCGAUUAGCUAGUUGGUAGGGUAAUGGCCUACCAAGGCGACGAUCGANAGCCGGCCUGAGAGGGUGAUCGGCCACACUGGAACUGAGACACGGUCCAGACUCCUACGGGAGGCAGCAGUGGGGAAUUUUGCGCAAUGGGCGAAAGCCUGACGCAGCAACGCCGCGUGGAGGAUGAAGGUCUUUGGAUUGUAAACUCCUGUCAGCAGGGAAAAGCAA